Molecule: transfer RNA, 58 nt
Filed under: Mesocricetus auratus (golden hamster)
Lineage: Eukaryota; Metazoa; Chordata; Mammalia; Rodentia; Cricetidae
Rfam family: tRNA
About the family: Transfer RNA (tRNA) molecules are approximately 80 nucleotides in length. Their secondary structure includes four short double-helical elements and three loops (D, anti-codon, and T loops). Further hydrogen bonds mediate the characteristic L-shaped molecular structure. tRNAs have two regions of fundamental functional importance: the anti-codon, which is responsible for specific mRNA codon recognition, and the 3' end, to which the tRNAs corresponding amino acid is attached (by aminoacyl-tRNA synthetases). tRNAs cope with the degeneracy of the genetic code in two manners: having more than one tRNA (with a specific anti-codon) for a particular amino acid; and 'wobble' base-pairing, i.e. permitting non-standard base-pairing at the 3rd anti-codon position.
Source: Rfam by way of RNAcentral
UGGCUCAGUGGUUAAGAGCACUGACUGUUCUUUCAGAGGACCUGGGUUCAAGUCCCAG